UACGUAGGGUGCAAGCGUUGUCCGGAAUUAUUGGGCGUAAAGAGCUCGUAGGCGGUCUGUCGCGUCGGCUGUGAAAUCCCGAGGCUCAACCUCGGGUCUGCAGUCGAUACGGGCAAACUAGAGUAUUGCAGGGGAGACUGGAAUUCCUGGUGUAGCGGUGAAAUGCGCAGAUAUCAGGAGGAACACCGGUGGCGAAGGCGGGUCUCUGGGCAAUAACUGACGCUGAGGCACGAAAGCGUGGGGAGCAAACAGG
This 253-nucleotide ribosomal RNA is filed under the name uncultured bacterium. RNAcentral's name for it is "partial 16S ribosomal RNA". It matches the Rfam family "Bacterial small subunit ribosomal RNA", at positions 524 to 776 of the family's 1533-position model. The record is from RNAcentral.